This 65-nucleotide transfer RNA is filed under the name Oberea yaoshana. RNAcentral describes it as "tRNA-Ile". The record is from RNAcentral. Lineage: Eukaryota; Metazoa; Arthropoda; Insecta; Coleoptera; Cerambycidae.
AGUAAGGUGCCUGAAAAAAAGGACAAUUUUGAUAGAAUUGAUUAUGUGGCCCCCCACUCUUACUA